RNAcentral lists this ribosomal RNA (301 nucleotides) under uncultured bacterium. Its description in RNAcentral is "partial 16S ribosomal RNA". It matches the Rfam family "Bacterial small subunit ribosomal RNA", at positions 509 to 809 of the family's 1533-position model. The record is from RNAcentral.
CAGUCGCCACGGUAAUACGGAGGGUGCAAGCGUUAAUCGGAAUUACUGGGCGUAAAGCGCACGCAGGCGGUCUGACAAGUCAGAUGUGAAAUCCCCGGGCUUAACCUGGGAACUGCAUUUGAAACUGUCAGGCUGGAGUCUUGUAGAGGGGGGUGGAAUUCCAGGUGUAGCGGUGAAAUGCGUAGAGAUCUGGAGGAAUACCGGUGGCGAAGGCGGCCCCCUGGACAAAGACUGACGCUCAGGUGCGAAAGCGUGGGGAGCAAACAGGAUUAGAUACCCGAGUAGUCCCUGUCUCUUAUAU